GGGGGCGUUUUGGAUUCGACGCCGGUUACAAAACCCGAGGUGCAUGUCGAGAGGGUAUAGACUCUCGUAAAUCAAUCUAUGCAACUUAAAUAGUUGCCAACGACGAAACGUACGCUCUCGCUGCCUAAUUAGGCGCAGCGAGCGAUUGCCACCGGGAUGCCCGUAAACCAGUGAUCGCAAUCGUCAUAUAGAACGGGAUCGUAGGAAGGCACGUCCGGGGCCGACCUCCUAAAACUUACCGGACUCGCCUGUUGUACCCUGCCCGUCGGGCGGCACCAGGCUAAACAAUAGACGACGCUAAACAUGUAGAGCUGAAGGCAGCGGACUGACGGACGGGGGUUCAACUCCCCCCGCCUCCACCA
Molecule: transfer-messenger RNA, 362 nt
Filed under: Pseudomonadales bacterium
Lineage: Bacteria; Pseudomonadati; Pseudomonadota; Gammaproteobacteria; Pseudomonadales
Rfam family: transfer-messenger RNA
About the family: Bacterial tmRNA, also known as 10Sa RNA or SsrA, is named for its dual tRNA and mRNA-like properties. Its role is to liberate the mRNA from a stalled ribosome.
Source: RNAcentral